GGCCGGGCCCAAUGGGCGGACGGCUCGUGAACCUGGUCAGGGCUUGACGGCAGCAGCCAUAAGCGUCGUCGCCCGUGCCGUUGGUCGCCUGGUCGUC
RNAcentral lists this signal recognition particle RNA (97 nucleotides) under Phycisphaerales bacterium. RNAcentral describes it as "signal recognition particle sRNA small type". It matches the Rfam family "Bacterial small signal recognition particle RNA". From Rfam's summary of the family: The signal recognition particle (SRP) is a universally conserved ribonucleoprotein involved in the co-translational targeting of proteins to membranes. The record is from RNAcentral. Lineage: Bacteria; Pseudomonadati; Planctomycetota; Phycisphaerae; Phycisphaerales.